CCUACGGGAGGCAGCAGUGGGGAAUAUUGGACAAUGGGGGGAACCCUGAUCCAGCGACGCCGCGUGAGUGAAGAAGUAGUUCGGUAUGUAAAGCUCUAUCAGCAGGGAAGAAAGAAAUGACGGUACCGGACUAAGAAGCCCCGGCUAACUACGUGCCAGCAGCCGCGGUAAUACGUAGGGGGCAAGCGUUAUCCGGAUUUACUGGGUGUAAAGGGAGCGUAGACGGCGAUGCCAGUCUGAAGUGAAAGGCGGGGGCCCAACCCCCGGACUGCUUUUGAAACGGGAUGGCUGGAGUGCAGGGGCGUUCAGUGGACUUCCUUUUGUAGCGGUUACCUGCGUCGAUAUU
RNAcentral lists this ribosomal RNA (346 nucleotides) under uncultured bacterium. RNAcentral describes it as "partial 16S ribosomal RNA". It matches the Rfam family "Bacterial small subunit ribosomal RNA", at positions 338 to 698 of the family's 1533-position model. The record is from RNAcentral.